CGUCGGUGGCAUUAGCAUUCUUGGAUACAGCAGGUGUGUACUCCCUGAAUCUUCUUUUCGGAGCUCCACAGACUGAAAAAAGAACAGUUUGACAGCACUAGUAAUGAACUCUCCCUAAACAAAUGCUAUUUAGACAUUUUCAGGUAAGCCAAAUUUGCAACUUCAAAGCAAGCAAGUAUUGAUUGUUGGAGAAUUUCUGGUUGUAUUAGUUUAAAACAUUGUUCCUUGAGUAGAAUUGGCUUUCCUGUUGCUCAAACGAAAAGAAAAUAUAAACCGCCCAGAAAGUGGAGUA
Long non-coding RNA from Rhododendron vialii, 292 nucleotides. RefSeq lists it as uncharacterized. The record is from RefSeq and is a predicted model, not a curated record. The transcript has 2 exons. Lineage: Eukaryota; Viridiplantae; Streptophyta; Magnoliopsida; Ericales; Ericaceae.